Molecule: non-coding RNA, 94 nt
Organism: Nemania abortiva
Lineage: Eukaryota; Fungi; Ascomycota; Sordariomycetes; Xylariales; Xylariaceae
Source: the annotation of a GenBank genome assembly
GCCCUGAUGGCACAGGGGUAAUGCGUGUCACUCGUAGUAUGUUAAUACUUGCGGUGUUAUGACAAGAUCCGCGGUUCGAUUCCGCGUCGGGGCA